UACGGAGGGUGCGAGCGUUAAUCGGAAUCACUGGGCGUAAAGGGCGCGUAGGCGGCCUGGUUAGUCGGGUGUGAAAGCCCGAGGCUCAACCUCGGAAUUGCAUUCGAUACUGCUGGGCUUGAGGCAGGUAGGGGAGGAUGGAGUUCCCGGUGUAGCGGUGGAAUGCGCAGAUAUCGGGAGAAACACCUGCGGCGAAGGCGGUCCUCUGGGCCUGUCCUGACGCUGAGGAGCGAAAGCGUGGGGAGCGAACAGGAUUAGAAACCCUAGUAGU
Molecule: ribosomal RNA, 271 nt
Filed under: uncultured bacterium
Lineage: Bacteria
Description: partial 16S ribosomal RNA
Rfam family: Bacterial small subunit ribosomal RNA
Source: RNAcentral